RNAcentral lists this long non-coding RNA (1524 nucleotides) under Phocoena sinus (vaquita). RNAcentral describes it as "lncRNA (ENSPSNG00000008828.1)". Lineage: Eukaryota; Metazoa; Chordata; Mammalia; Artiodactyla; Phocoenidae. The record is from RNAcentral.
GAAAGGCAUUUAAAAAAUUAUUUUUGUCAAUAAUCUGAAAGCAUCAUGCAAAAGGAUAAUUAUUUUCAAGGCAUUUUAAACCUUUCCCAAAGGGAAAAUGUGCUUAGAUCACAGGGGGUUGCAAUUCUAAUCUUUUGUAAGUUUGAUCAAAGAAAACUUGCGGACCGUUUUUACCUCUCACCAUCACAAUCAUUAAUGUCUCCCUUUAUAACUGCCUAUACUUUGUUUACUUUGAAACAUCAGGUUGGCUGUCUUUCUUAUGUGGUUUUUUUUUUUUUUACAUGCUAGAACUCAUGCAGUUUCUUUUUCAGUCGGGAGUUCACAUCUUGUUCCUUGAAUAUUUUGAACAUUUCUUUUAAAAUUCUUCUAUAAAAUUUUUUUGUUUUGCACUGGUAAAACUGAUUAAAAGUUUAAGCUGGUCUUAACACACUCACUUCUGUAGUGUAAGGAAGUAUGAGAAGGAAUUUCUUAAUAACUGAGUUUACAUGGUUAAAUCAAGCAUAUAAUAGUUAAUAUUCCCUGUGUUAAAGGCUUUUCUAUUUGUAUGUAUAGUCCUUUUUUUAAUGUCAUUGUGUUGCAAUAAUUUAACUCCUUUGACUUACUUGCUAAAAAUUUUUCUUCUAUUUAAGAAGUGCUCUUGAUUUCAAUACCUAAACACUGAAAAUCAUGUCAAAAGGUACCCAAAGAUAAGUUUUUAUACAGAUACACACCUUAUAAGUUGUGAUUUAUUUUAUGAUUCAUUUAUCUAAAUAUGUUGUGUUCUGAAUGAAUCAUGAAUGAGAAUAGUUCUUUAUUGUGGAAUUAUUUAAAACUGUCCUUUAAAAGCAAAAGAAGAAACUAUAAACAUAUAAGUUAAUCUAGUUGCCAAGUUGGAAUUCAUUAUUUAAUUUACCUCCUAUGCAAUGAUUAAUGCUGCAAAAUGUAUGGUUAUGUUAGAGUAUAUUCACAAAAGAAAUAUUAUUACAAGGUUUGAGAAGUAGCCAAUUACAUCUUUUGGAAAUUUACUGUACUGUUUCAAUGUGUUAAGUGCCUUGUUGUAAAGUAAAAUUUUAAGUCUAGAAUUCAUUAUUUUCCUGACAUAUAUUUUUCAUUAUCAUAUAUACUGUAUAUUAUUGUAAUAGUUUUAUUAAAUGCUUAAGUUUUAAUUAAAUAUGUAAAUUUCAGAAGCUCUUUUCCCCUACCCACCAGUACCUUAAUCAUUGGUCUAUCAUAUGGGAUUUGAAUUCAGGUUCUUUUUUUAAAAGGGGAAAAUUAUCUUAGUUUAGAAAUAUGUUUUCCAUGCUUGUGCAUUUGUGUUUAUAAAAACAUUUCAGGAGGAAUUUAAGAGUGUAACUAUAGUUUGUACUUCAAAAUGCCAUUUUACAUUUACAUUUUAAGUGCCUAAUUGUUAGUUAAAACUAAUUUAUGUUUCUAUUCUAAAGAGAAUAUGUCUACUUGGUUUCUAAUCUCUUUGGCUUUGCUUAAAAAAAUAAAAGAGCAAGGGCCUAUACUUUGUAUUUACCCAAUAAACCACCAUGACAUCGA